GCUCAGGACGAACGCUGGCGGCGUGCCUAAUACAUGCAAGUCGAGCGGAGCUAAUCUUUUCUUCGGAAAAGAUGAUGCUUAGCGGCGGACGGGUGAGUAACACGUAGGUAACCUGCCCAUAAGACUGGGAUAACAUUCGGAAACGGAUGCUAAUACCAGAUAAUCAAGUUUCUCGCAUGAGAGAUUUGGGAAGGGCGGAGCAAUCUGUCACUUAUGGAUGGACCUGCGGUGCAUUAGCUAGUUGGUGAGGUAACGGCUCACCAAGGCGACGAUGCAUAGCCGACCUGAGAGGGUGAUCGGCCACACUGGGACUGAGACACGGCCCAGACUCCUACGGGAGGCAGCAGUAGGGAAUCUUCCACAAUGGACGAAAGUCUGAUGGAGCAACGCCGCGUGAGUGAUGAAGGCCUUCGGGUCGUAAAGCUCUGUUGCCAGGGAAGAACGCUCAGGAGAGUAACUGCUCCUGAGGUGACGGUACCUGAGAAGAAAGCCCCGGCUAACUACGUGCCAGCAGCCGCGGUAAUACGUAGGGGGCAAGCGUUGUCCGGAAUUAUUGGGCGUAAAGCGCGCGCAGGCGGUUCAUUAAGUCUGGUGUUUAAGGCAAUGGCUCAACCAUUGUUCGCACCGGAAACUGGUGGACUUGAGUGUAGGAGAGGAAAGUGGAAUUCCACGUGUAGCGGUGAAAUGCGUAGAGAUGUGGAGGAACACCAGUGGCGAAGGCGACUUUCUGGCCUAUAACUGACGCUGAGGCGCGAAAGCGUGGGGAGCAAACAGGAUUAGAU
Molecule: ribosomal RNA, 782 nt
Filed under: uncultured thermophilic aerobic biofilm eubacterium SCBP-S17
Lineage: Bacteria
Description: bacterial SSU rRNA
Rfam family: Bacterial small subunit ribosomal RNA
Source: RNAcentral